GGGGCAGACACACGUAACGACUAGUUUUUAGUCUAUUUUUUAUGCAUUUAAUACACAUUAGACAUACUCCAAUGGCUCUUAACCGAUUCUAUGAUACUCUCAAAACUUAAUGAAGACUAUAAAUACUUUUUAGAGGUAAAAAAUUAAAACAACAAGAAGUAUUCAAGCUCAAAUUCGUGAAAGAGAAAGAAAAUCCUAGAA
This 201-nucleotide long non-coding RNA is filed under the name Elaeis guineensis (African oil palm). RNAcentral describes it as "long non-coding RNA (EGUI_LNC041914)". The record is from RNAcentral. Lineage: Eukaryota; Viridiplantae; Streptophyta; Magnoliopsida; Arecales; Arecaceae.